CCAUAUUCUUCUUCUCAUCCUCUCUGUCAAUUUCAUCUUCACUGGUUUUGAUCUUGAGUCUCUCGAGAUUAGUUCGUAUAAAGCUUGUAGUUGUUGAAUUGAGGGUGAAGGUGAUGAUGCUUCUAUCGAUUGGGUUUUGGAAGAAGUAGAUAGUUGGGGUUUGAGAAAUAAUCGAGUUACGGUUUCAAUUGAGGUUCAAAGAAGAAUUAUAAGAUGAAUAUGGUGGUUUAGGGGAUUGAAUUAGGAUGGGUUUGUCACGAAUCAGGUGUUAAGGUUGAUUUUGAAGAUCAGAUGGAUGAAUUAGAGUUAGGGUUUCAUGUUCUUCCCAAAUUAAAAUUAGGGUUCCUGUGAUUGGAAUCUGCUGAUGAAGAUUUGGAUGUGCGGGUGAUGGUUUGAGUGUUGGAUGAACUCAACUUGUGGGUUACAGAUAUUGGAAGCAGUGGUUGCUUGUUUUCUGUUGUAGCUGAAGUCAGUUUUAAGAAGAUUGUGAACUGGGAACUAGGGAUUUAAAUUGAAGUUAGUUUGUAUUAACAACGAUCGAUUCAAAGGAUGAACCAGCGGAUUGAGGAAUUCAAGGUGGGAGUGGCUUGUCGUCAAAUCAGGUGGGAACUCUGUAACCUUCUUGUAAUCAUUGAGUCUACCUUAUCUGUGAGCAUGAUGAGUUCUUUAUUUCAGUGAACAUGAUGUUUGUAAUUGAAUGAGUAUGUUGUGUGAUAUGCAUUAUGUGGUUCCCUGCGA
Long non-coding RNA from Papaver somniferum (opium poppy), 738 nucleotides. RefSeq lists it as uncharacterized. The transcript has 2 exons. The record is from RefSeq and is a predicted model, not a curated record. Lineage: Eukaryota; Viridiplantae; Streptophyta; Magnoliopsida; Ranunculales; Papaveraceae.